UACGCUCCUGUGGUAGAGACGACCAUGGACUAAACCGACGCUACGAGAGUUCAAGGCCAGAACCCCUCCGCGGAACGCGUUGAGCCCUCCUGUUCCGCCAUCGCUGUCCGUCUCCCACAGUACUGGGACCAGCAUCUUUCGGCGUGGUUUCUACAGGCCGAAGCGCAAUUUCAAGUCGCUGGUGUCCGCUCUCAAGCCUCGGAAGUUCCAUUACGCCGUCGCAGCGCUCUCGCCCGCCGCCAUUGACGAGGUAGCAGAUUUGUUGAACUCCCCAUUGUCUGCCGCCGCCUAUGACGAUCUCAAGGGAGCACUGCUACAGCGCACAGCAGCUUCACAGCGUUCUCGCAUCCAACAGCUUCUGUCCGCUGAAGAUCUCGGUGACCGACGCCCUAGUCAACUUCUUCGCCGAAUGCACCAGCUGCUCGGAAACAACGCGAGAUCCAUCGACAAAACGCUGUUGCGCGAAUUGUUUUUCCAACGACUCCCGGCUAUUGUGAAGACUGUCCUGGCGAAAGCCUCUACCAUGGACCUCACCGGACUUGCCGCUUUGGCCGACAAAGUCAUGGAAGUAGCCACCCCAACCAUCGCAGCCACGGCACCGUCUCCGGGUGACAAUACAACCACUCUGCAAACUGUUCCCUGCUCUUCCGCAGUGCAAUCUCCUCUCGACUCCUUGAGUGAGCGCCUGGAACGCAUCAUCUGUGGAGCGGAAUAUCGCCGCACAUCUCGUCGCCCACGCAGCCGUAGUUCCAGCUGAUCAAGACGCACGGGCAUCCGCAAUGAAACCUCAACUACAACGCCUGGCGUUUGAUACUACCACCGCCGUUUUGGAAACGAUGCUCGUCACUGUCGGCGUCCCUGCGCUUGGCAGGGAAACAGGCCGGCCGACCUCUAACGGCGCGAGUGGUCCGGCCCAAAACACAAGUCGCCUUUUCUACGUGACGGACAGAGUUACGGGACAACGAUUCUUAGUCGACGCAGGUGCUGACAUCAGCAUUCUCCCCGCCCAAAACUCCGACCGAAAAGCGACACCUGUGUCGUUUUUGCAAGCCGUCAACGGCACCAGGAUUCCAGUUUUCUCGUCACGCUCCGUCAUGCUAAACCUUGGCCUUCGACGAGCGUUCCGCUGGAUUUUCCUGGUUGCAGACGUCCAUUGUGCAGUCAUUGGAGCAGACUUCUUGCAUAACUACUGACUCCUUGUGGACAUCCAGCGACGCCGUCUCAUCAACUCCGUGACCCAGCUAUCCGUUCCCGGCGUCCCAUCAUCAGGCACAUCCCCCAUAGCGCCUAUUUCUGCCAUGUUGGACGAACCUUUCGCCGUGCUCCUACGCGAAUUUCCCACUUUGACACGCCUGCCCAACUGGACGCGACCGGUGCAACAUGACGUGUGCCAUCACAUAGUCACCUCCGGCCCACCGGUCUAUUUCCGACCCUGGCGAUUGUCCCCGGAGAAACUCAAGAUCGCUCGGGCGGAGUUCGAACACAUGCUGCAACUUGGCAUCAUCCGCCCUUCCUUCAGUAACUGGGCACUUCAGAGGGUGCCUAAGAAGACGGGUGACUUGCGCCCAUGCGGCGAUUACCGGGCACUAAACAACGUCACAGUUCCAGAUCGCUACCCUCUACCGAACAUUCAGGACUUCACGGUUGCGUUGCACGGUGCGACGAUCUUUUCUAAGAUCGAUCUCGUUCGCGCCUACCAUCAACUACCCGUCGCUGAAGAAGGCAUUCCCAAGACCGCCAUCACCACACCCUUCGGUCUUUUCGAAUUUCUCCGCAUUCUUUUCGGUUUGGGGAACGCGGGCCAAUCCUUUCAGCGUUUCAUCGAUUCCGUCACCCGGGGGUUGCCUUUCGUUUUUGCAUACAUUGACGCCUUCUCUUCGCAAGCUCUUCGGCAGAAGAACAUCUUCACCACUCGCGGUUGUUGUUUUCACGCCUUGCCAGUAAAGGAAUACUCAUCAACGCCGGCAAGAGUGAAUUCGGUCGAACCGAACUCGAGUUCCUCGGUCAUAUCGUCGACGCUAAUGGCAUUCGACCUCUGCCGUCCAAUAUUCGUGCCAUCGAAAAUCUUCCCCAACCGACCACACUCACCAAGCUUCGCCGAUUUCACGGAUAUGUAAAUUUCUACCGCUGAUUCAUUCCCGAGUGCGCACGACUUAUGGCUCCGCUAGACGCUCUCCUGGUAAACAAACGCAAACAUGUGCUUCAGUGGACUGAAGAGGCCAGUGACGCUUUCACAAGAAUCAAGUCUGCCCUCGCCGAUGCCACGCUGCUUAGACACCAAAAACCAGACGCACCCACUGCCAUCAUGACCGACGCUUCAAACAACGCCGUUGGUGCCGUUCCGCAGCAAUUCAUCGACAAUGCAUGUCAUCCACUCGCUUUUUUCUCCAAGAAACUGAAGCCUCCGCAGUCCCGCUACAGAGUGUUCGACCAUGAAUUACUCGCUGUUUGCCUGGCUAUCAAGCAUUUUCGCCAUUUCCUCGAAGGCCGUGCAUUCACUGUCUUGACUGACCACAAGCCCCUUGUGCACGCAACGAAUCGCUCGGCGUCCUGUUACUCGCCCCGCGAGAUUCGACACCUUUCCUACAUCUCCGAGUUUACAACAACGUUCCGCCACAUCAAGGGCACCGACAACGUUCCAGCCGACGUUCUGAAUCGUGUCAAUGUCGCUUCCACGUUGACAUCAGAACCUUUCAUCAUCGACGCCGACUUACUCGCCAGUCAACAGCGUGACGACACUGAACUUCGUACACUCCGGAAUUCGUCAACGUCCCUGAAAUUGGACGACGUCGUUGUGACUCCAGAUGGUACGUCCGUCGUCUGCGACACUUCUAACGACACACCUAGACCAUACAUUCCUGCAUCCCUUCGCAGACGUCUAUUCGAAACCGUGCACAACCUGUCGCACCCUGGCAUACGCGCGACACAGAAGCUUCUUUCCAGUCGUUUCGUUCGGCCUCGGCUAAACGCGCACGCUCGCGAUUGGGUUCGCUGCGGUUUGCCGUGUCAACGUUCGAAGACCCAGCGUCACCCCAUUCCGCCUGCCAAGUCUUUUCUUCCACCCCGAUCGUGGCUCUCCAACAAAAUGCACAGCUCAACACACUGGAUGAGCUGGAGCAGCAGCGGCGUGAUGCUCGCAGGCUUCAAGGCCAUCCUUUCGCACGCAACGUGUGCUCUCAGGGCUUACGCUUUCUCGAACUCGCUUCUACCACCACCAUCGCCAGUUCUUCCUCGCUGGAGUUUUGUACAGCUGAGUGAUAACAAGCCAACUUAUAUACAUCGCCCGACAUCAACUCACGCGGUCGCGUCGCUUCGUGACCGAAUUAUAGCCCACAAUGCCCACCUACCGCUUGGCUCCAUCGUCCUUUACGUUGAUGCAAGCAUUCAGGACUGUGAAACAACCACUGCAAUUUAUUGUCCAUGCGAACCUGCCCUUAAUAAGACGACCCGGUUUCAAAUCCAAGAACCUCCUUCCUCCUUUUGUGGUGAGCUCCUUGCUGUCCGAGAAGCGUUAUGCUCUGUGGCCGCCUUUCCCAUGGUCCCCACGGCCGCAUCGUCAUCCGCACUGAUGCCCUUCAGGCGACGCGGCUUCUGCGACGCGUCAGUCGCAGCUCUGCACAGAUCCAUCUUCUGGCGGCACGCAUCCCGCAGUCAGUAUCUGUCGAGUGGAUCCCACGCCACCUUAUAAGCUUCCAAGGCCGUGCGGAUUCUGCGAUCCGUCCAGCGGCCUCUCCAAGGUCACUGCCUCAACUCUUUCACCUAGAUGAUGCCGCCCUCCUUUUAACAAGAAAGGAGCACCUCCGGCGCCGCACACGUGCUCUCAUACCUCCGUGUGCGAUAAACCUCUCCCGUAGUCUUACCCGUGCAGAGGAGGUUGCGUUCGGAGGAUCCGGGUCGGGGUUGCCCUCACUCCUGCCGUGACUAGGAAGUGGCCGUACUUUCGCCCGUUAUAUCCUCGUCCUGAGUGUCCACUCUGCAAGUCGCGAAAUGCUGAAGCCGACAUCCACCACCUGCUGUGGGUGUGCCUUGCACUGAAACCGACGAGGCUCCGACACCUCGCAGCAGCGGCACUCUCGCUGCACAAUCCGAGCGAUUACACUGCUUGGACACAGGGACUGCAUUAUCGAUCCCUCUUGGACUUCAUUAGAUCCCAUACACAAAGUGCAAGAAGUGGCAGUCCGGGUGUUCAGAAAUUUUGAGCCUGCAGUGCAUGGCCGCUCGUGAAAAGUUCUGUACAUUUCGCUUCCAUAUACGCGGUGUCGCAAUUGGGCAGCCGGCUGCCCUGCAGUUUCCAGGCUUGACCUGAUGGCCACACAUGAAGCCAUAUGUGGCUUCAGACAGGUCCGUUGUUGCUACAAUUCCUGUGGUUGGAUCCGCAACCUCAACCAGCUGGCUGCCCACCUGACGCAGCAGCACGGCGUCAACGUGAUUGCACUGCAGGAUCCCAUACACAAAGUGCAAGAAGUGGCAGUCCGGGUGUUCAGAAAUUUUGAGCCUGCAUUGCAUGGCCGCUCGUGAAAAGUUCGGUACAUUUCGCUUCCAUAUACGCGGUGUCGCAAUUGGGCAGCCGGCUGCCCUGCAGUUUCCAGGCUUGACCUGAUGGCCACACAUGAAGCCAUAUGUGGCUUCAGACAGGUCCGUUGUUGCUACAAUUCCUGUGGUUGGAUCCGCAACCUCAACCAGCUGGCUGCCCACCUGACGCAGCAGCACGGCGUCAACGUGAUUGCACUGCAGGAUCCCAUACACAAAGUGCAAGAAGUGGCAGUCCGGGUGUUCAGAAAUUUUGAGCCUGCAUUGCAUGGCCGCUCGUGAAAAGUUCGGUACAUUUCGCUUCCAUAUACGCGGUGUCGCAAUUGGGCAGCCGGCUGCCCUGCAGUUUCCAGGCUUGACCUGAUGGCCACACAUGAAGCCAUAUGUGGCUUCAGGCAAGUCCGGUGCCUUUUUCCGACCUGCGGUUAUGUGAAUUCCAUCAAUGACCUGCCUAGUCAUCUGGCAUUGCGGCACGCCGCAUCGGUUAAGGAAGUGCACGAGGACCACGCGGAGCUCGUACUGCAAGAUCCGACCAACAAGCAGAACAGCGUGCGGGCGGUCCUCCUGCUGCAUCACGAGAGCGUGCUGGCUGUCACGCACGAGCGUACGGGCCAGUUUUAUUCCGAGGCCAACUUGAACGUGCUUACACUGACGCCAGGACCCGAAGAUUACGACUUCGAAAUUAUUCUCAGGGGACCCUCCGGCGUUAACUCUUGGAGAUCGCGGGCCCUUGCAUGGGGAACGCCGGAGGAUACGUCAGUGGGGCUUUCGGAAUCGUUCAUAAGUAAAUUGGCUCCCGAUGGCACCUUGAAUAUCCGAAUAAAUUUGAUGAAAUGAGUUCUUUAACAAGGA
Dermacentor albipictus is the source of this 5382-nucleotide RNA transcript. RefSeq lists it as uncharacterized. Lineage: Eukaryota; Metazoa; Arthropoda; Arachnida; Ixodida; Ixodidae. The record is from RefSeq and is a predicted model, not a curated record.